RNAcentral lists this ribosomal RNA (468 nucleotides) under uncultured bacterium. RNAcentral describes it as "partial 16S ribosomal RNA". It matches the Rfam family "Bacterial small subunit ribosomal RNA", at positions 28 to 507 of the family's 1533-position model. The record is from RNAcentral.
GAUGAACGCUGGCGGCGUGCUUAACACAUGCAAGUCGAACGGAAAGGCCCAAGCUUGCUUGGGUACUCGAGUGGCGAACGGGUGAGUAACACGUGGGUGAUCUGCCCUGCACUUCGGGAUAAGCCUGGGAAACUGGGUCUAAUACCGGAUAGGACGAUGGUUUGGAUGCCGUUGUGGAAAGUUUUUUCGGUGUGGGAUGAGCUCGCGGCCUAUCAGCUUGUUGGUGGGGUAAUGGCCUACCAAGGCGUCGACGGGUAGCCGGCCUGAGAGGGUGUACGGCCACAUUGGGACUGAGAUACGGCCCAGACUCCUACGGGAGGCAGCAGUGGGGAAUAUUGCACAAUGGGCGCAAGCCUGAUGCAGCGACGCCGCGUGGGGGAUGACGGCCUUCGGGUUGUAAACUCCUUUCGCUAGGGACGAAGCGUUUUUGUGACGGUACCUGGAGAAGAAGCACCGGCUAACUACGUG